This 425-nucleotide ribosomal RNA is filed under the name uncultured bacterium. Its description in RNAcentral is "partial 16S ribosomal RNA". It matches the Rfam family "Bacterial small subunit ribosomal RNA", at positions 354 to 796 of the family's 1533-position model. The record is from RNAcentral.
GUGGGGAAUCUUGCGCAAUGGGCGAAAGCCUGACGCAGCCAUGCCGCGUGAAUGAUGAAGGUCUUAGGAUUGUAAAAUUCUUUCACCGGGGACGAUAAUGACGGUACCCGGAGAAGAAGCUCCGGCUAACUUCGUGCCAGCAGCCGCGGUAAUACGAAGGGGGCUAGCGUUGCUCGGAAUUACUGGGCGUAAAGGGCGCGUAGGCGGACAGUUUAGUCAGAGGUGAAAGCCCAGGGCUCAACCUUGGAAUUGCCUUUGAUACUGGCUGUCUUGAGUGUGGGAGAGGUGAGUGGAACUCCGGGUGUAGAGGUGAAAUUCGUAGAUAUUCGGAAGAACACCAGUGGCGAAGGCGACUCACUGGCCCAAUACUGACGCUGAGGCGCGAAAGCGUGGGGAGCAAACAGGAUUAGAAACCCCGGUAGUCC